AACGAACGCUGGCGGCAGGCCUAACACAUGCAAGUCGAACGCCGUAGCAAUACGGAGUGGCAGACGGGUGAGUAACACGUGGGAACGUACCUUUCGGUUCGGAAUAACUCAGGGAAACUUGAGCUAAUACUGGAUACGUGCGAGAGCAGAAAGAUUUAUCGCCGAAAGAUCGGCCCGCGUCCGAUUAGCUUGUUGGUGAGGUAACGGCUCACCAAGGCAACGAUCGGUAGCUGGUCUGAGAGGAUGAUCAGCCACACUGGGACUGAGACACGGCCCAGACUCCUACGGGAGGCAGCAGUGGGGAAUAUUGGACAAUGGGCGAAAGCCUGAUCCAGCAAUGCCGCGUGAGUGAUGAAGGCCUUAGGGUUGUAAAGCUCUUUUACCAGGGAUGAUAAUGACAGUACCUGGAGAAUAAGCUCCGGCUAACUCCGUG
RNAcentral lists this ribosomal RNA (433 nucleotides) under uncultured bacterium. RNAcentral's name for it is "bacterial SSU rRNA". It matches the Rfam family "Bacterial small subunit ribosomal RNA", at positions 29 to 507 of the family's 1533-position model. The record is from RNAcentral.